UGGGGAAUAUUGGACAAUGGGCGCAAGCCUGAUCCAGCCAUGCCGCGUGAGUGACGAAGGCCUUAGGGUUGUAAAGCUCUUUUGGCGGGGACGAUAAUGACGGUACCCGCAGAAUAAGCCCCGGCUAACUUCGUGCCAGCAGCCGCGGUAAUACGAAGGGGGCUAGCGUUGUUCGGAAUCACUGGGCGUAAAGCGCGCGUAGGCGGAUUUGUAAGUCAGGGGUGAAAUCCCGGGGCUCAACCUCGGAACUGCCUUUGAUACUGCAAGUCUCGAGUUCGGGAGAGGUGAGUGGAAUUCCUAGUGUAGAGGUGAAAUUCGUAGAUAUUGGGAAGAACACCAGUGGCGAAGGCGGCUAACUGGUCCGGUACUGACGCUGAGGUGCGAAAGCGUGGGGAGCAAACAGGAUUAGAUACCCCCGUAGUCCCUGAGCGGGCUGGCAAGGCGCAU
Molecule: ribosomal RNA, 447 nt
Filed under: uncultured bacterium
Lineage: Bacteria
Description: bacterial SSU rRNA
Rfam family: Bacterial small subunit ribosomal RNA
Source: RNAcentral